This 253-nucleotide ribosomal RNA is filed under the name uncultured bacterium. RNAcentral's name for it is "partial 16S ribosomal RNA". It matches the Rfam family "Bacterial small subunit ribosomal RNA", at positions 524 to 776 of the family's 1533-position model. The record is from RNAcentral.
UACGGAGGAUGCAAGCGUUAUCCGGAAUUAUUGGGCGUAAAGCGUCCGCAGGUGGCUGUGUAAGUCUGCUGUCAAAGAGCAAAGCUCAACUUUGUAAAUGCAGUGGAAACUACACGGCUAGAGUGCGUUCGGGGCAGAGGGAAUUCCUGGUGUAGCGGUGAAAUGCGUAGAGAUCAGGAAGAACACCGGUGGCGAAGGCGCUCUGCUAGGCCGCAACUGACACUGAGGGACGAAAGCGUGGGGAGCAAACAGG